UACGUAGGGUCCGAGCGUUAAUCGGAAUUACUGGGCGUAAAGCGUGCGCAGGCGGUUUUGUAAGCCAGAUGUGAAAGCCCCGGGCUCAACCUGGGAACUGCAUUUGGGACUGCAAGGCUGGAGUACGGCAGAGGGAGGUGGAAUUCCACGUGUAGCAGUGAAAUGCGUAGAGAUGUGGAGGAACACCGAUGGCGAAGGCAGCCUCCUGGGCUAGUACUGACGCUCAUGCACGAAAGCGUGGGGAGCAGACAGG
Molecule: ribosomal RNA, 253 nt
Filed under: uncultured bacterium
Lineage: Bacteria
Description: partial 16S ribosomal RNA
Rfam family: Bacterial small subunit ribosomal RNA
Source: RNAcentral